UUAAGUUCAGCGGGUAAUCUUACCUGAUUUGAGGUCAAAAUUUCAUAUGAUUAAAUUUAUGGGUACGUAAACCAUGAUAAAUAUGGUCGUACCUAAUAAAAAAGGUCAAUUAAGCACAAAGUAUUGACCAUAAAAUGCGCUCAAAUCAACGUAUGAUCAAUUUUAAGUCACUUAAAACUUUGAAUGUAAAGGUUUUUUAAGGUAACUCAAUUCCGAAAUUGAUACUCUCUCAUUAGAGAGGUAACAAAAAUCGAUUUUUUUAUUUUAAUGACCCUCAAACAGACAUACUCUUCGUGAAAAGAGUGCAAUUUGCGUU
This 316-nucleotide unclassified non-coding RNA is filed under the name uncultured Glomeraceae. RNAcentral describes it as "sequence contains 5.8S rRNA gene, ITS2, 28S rRNA gene". The record is from RNAcentral. Lineage: Eukaryota; Fungi; Glomeromycota; Glomeromycetes; Glomerales; Glomeraceae.